ACAAAACAAGGAAGUGUUGCUGUUGUUCAGUUGAUGAACGUGUGGGCAUCCGUCUCCAUCCAGCUUAUUCUUUUAGUUUGAAGGAGAGUGUAGAUGCAACCCAUUCCUAACAUGGUGUACCAUGUGGCUGCAGGAAACAUUUCAAAACAUGUUGAAGAGUACCUGGGGAAUCUGUUGAUAUAAAAGCCUCAUUUCAAGGAAGGUCUUCCACUGCAGAGAGAGAAGUUGAAAGAGGAGUGGAGUGGCAGAUGGGUUACCACAAGUUUUUGCUCUCAUGAUCGUGCGUCCUAGUUCCUUUCCGCUUCAGAUUCAUGGUUUAUGGAUGGCAUUUCUAGGAGACGGGACUGUAAAGGACAUAUUUCUGGUGCAGAUCCCUAAUUUCAGCACACGUCUGACUGACGUUCCUCAGACAGCAGGAACGUCAGCCCGCCAUGGAGAACGCACGGAAUGACUUCUGUCUCUUCUUUUCCUGUGAAAACAGACUGGCAACACCAGAACCACAAAAACACAUUGACCGUUACCCCAGAAGUAAACUUGACUUCGGUAUGACCGUCCUGUUCGCAGAAAACAAACCAC
This is a long non-coding RNA of Larimichthys crocea (large yellow croaker), 576 nucleotides long. RefSeq lists it as uncharacterized. The record is from RefSeq and is a predicted model, not a curated record. NCBI's taxonomy places the organism in Eukaryota, Metazoa, Chordata, Actinopteri, Sciaenidae. The transcript has 5 exons.